Molecule: ribosomal RNA, 728 nt
Filed under: Pseudomonas brassicacearum
Lineage: Bacteria; Pseudomonadati; Pseudomonadota; Gammaproteobacteria; Pseudomonadales; Pseudomonadaceae
Description: bacterial SSU rRNA
Rfam family: Bacterial small subunit ribosomal RNA
Source: RNAcentral
UGCGAGUCGAGCGGUAGAGAGGUGCUUGCACCUCUUGAGAGCGGCGGACGGGUGAGUAAUGCCUAGGAAUCUGCCUGGUAGUGGGGGAUAACGCUCGGAAACGGACGCUAAUACCGCAUACGUCCUACGGGAGAAAGCAGGGGACCUUCGGGCCUUGCGCUAUCAGAUGAGCCUAGGUCGGAUUAGCUAGUUGGUGGGGUAAUGGCUCACCAAGGCGACGAUCCGUAACUGGUCUGAGAGGAUGAUCAGUCACACUGGAACUGAGACACGGUCCAGACUCCUACGGGAGGCAGCAGUGGGGAAUAUUGGACAAUGGGCGAAAGCCUGAUCCAGCCAUGCCGCGUGUGUGAAGAAGGUCUUCGGAUUGUAAAGCACUUUAAGUUGGGAGGAAGGGCAUUAACCUAAUACGUUAGUGUUUUGACGUUACCGACAGAAUAAGCACCGGCUAACUCUGUGCCAGCAGCCGCGGUAAUACAGAGGGUGCAAGCGUUAAUCGGAAUUACUGGGCGUAAAGCGCGCGUAGGUGGUUCGUUAAGUUGGAUGUGAAAGCCCCGGGCUCAACCUGGGAACUGCAUUCAAAACUGUCGAGCUAGAGUAUGGUAGAGGGUGGUGGAAUUUCCUGUGUAGCGGUGAAAUGCGUAGAUAUAGGAAGGAACACCAGUGGCGAAAGCGACCACCUGGACUGAUACUGACACUGAGGUGCGAAAGCGUGGGGAGCAAACAGGAUU